UCCGUAGGGGGCAAGCGUUAUCCGGAUUUACUGGGUGUAAAGGGAGCGUAGGUGGUUCGGUAAGUCAGAUGUGAAAGCCCGGGGCUCAACCCCGGGACUGCAUUUGAAACUAUCGGACUGGAGUACAGGAGAGGUAAGUGGAAUUCCUAGUGUAGCGGUGAAAUGCGUAGAUAUUAGGAGGAACACCAGUGGCGAAGGCGGCUUACUGGACUGUAACUGACACUGAGGCUCGAAAGCGUGGGGAGAAAACAGG
This 253-nucleotide ribosomal RNA is filed under the name uncultured bacterium. RNAcentral describes it as "partial 16S ribosomal RNA". It matches the Rfam family "Bacterial small subunit ribosomal RNA", at positions 524 to 776 of the family's 1533-position model. The record is from RNAcentral.